CUCCGCCGCCGUGGAGCGCGCGCCGCACACUGCCGUACUGCCCCGUCGUCGUAAACCUUCGUUAGCGAUAUUAAACGUCUCGCGGCCGUAUUUAAAGCUGACGGGGUGCAUUGUACCCUGCUGCUGCUGUUGCUGCUCCGGCUCGCCUUGCACUCUGCAUCGGCUGCGGUGCAAGCGGUGAGUGUUGGCUGAUUUCUCGGAAGCCGCCGCCGCUGUCCGACGACGCCGCGCUGGGGCUGGGGUACUGGCUGCGCGCUGCGGUGAUACACAACCAUGGGAGCAGUCAAGAGCAAGCGGUCGGUGGACAUCUCGACGAAGGACGGGGAGCCCGCCAACGCGGCCAACGUGAAGGCGGCCCUCGAUGGCAAGCUUGAGCGCAUCGAGGAGGGCGACCUCAAGGCCAAGGUGGCCAACGGGCACGCCGACGGCAAUAAGGU
Frankliniella occidentalis (western flower thrips) is the source of this 437-nucleotide long non-coding RNA. RefSeq lists it as uncharacterized. NCBI's taxonomy places the organism in Eukaryota, Metazoa, Arthropoda, Insecta, Thysanoptera, Thripidae. The transcript has 3 exons. The record is from RefSeq and is a predicted model, not a curated record.